UGGGGAAUUUUGGACAAUGGGCGAAAGCCUGAUCCAGCAAUGCCGCGUGUGUGAAGAAGGCCUUCGGGUUGUAAAGCACUUUUGUCCGGAAAGAAAUCCUUGGCUCUAAUACAGUCGGGGGAUGACGGUACCGGAAGAAUAAGCACCGGCUAACUACGUGCCAGCAGCCGCGGUAAUACGUAGGGUGCAAGCGUUAAUCGGAAUUACUGGGCGUAAAGCGUGCGCAGGCGGUUUGCUAAGACCGAUGUGAAAUCCCCGGGCUCAACCUGGGAACUGCAUUGGUGACUGGCAGGCUAGAGUAUGGCAGAGGGGGGUAGAAUUCCACGUGUAGCAGUGAAAUGCGUAGAGAUGUGGAGGAAUACCGAUGGCGAAGGCAGCCCCCUGGGCCAAUACUGACGCUCAUGCACGAAAGCGUGGGGAGCAAAACAGGAUUAGAUACCCUGGUAGUCCACGCCCUAAACGAUGUCAACUAGUUGUUGGGGAUUCAUUUCCUUAGUAACGUAGCCAACGCGUGAAGUUGACCGCCUGGGGAGUACGGUCGCAAGAUUAAAACUCAAAGGAAUUGACGGGGUCAUAGCUGUUUCCU
RNAcentral lists this ribosomal RNA (586 nucleotides) under uncultured bacterium. Its description in RNAcentral is "partial 16S ribosomal RNA". It matches the Rfam family "Bacterial small subunit ribosomal RNA", at positions 355 to 1375 of the family's 1533-position model. The record is from RNAcentral.